This is a long non-coding RNA of Brachypodium distachyon (stiff brome), 1541 nucleotides long. RefSeq lists it as uncharacterized. Lineage: Eukaryota; Viridiplantae; Streptophyta; Magnoliopsida; Poales; Poaceae. The transcript has 2 exons. The record is from RefSeq and is a predicted model, not a curated record.
CACAGUUCUGCACCGUCCAAUCCACCCUGGGCGAGGUGCACCGUUGAUUGAGUUAGGACAGCUCCCCAUCUCUUUCCACGUAUAUACAAUAGACCUCAUCAGCGCCUGGCUGUCUUUCCCUUUCCCCAUUCUUCCCCGAUUUCCUCUCACGCUCGUCAUCGAGUCUUCUCGCGUGCGAUUUGCUGGCGGUCAGGCGAUGGGGUUUCGGCGGCUGAAGCGAUGAUGGAGAGAGAGGUCCAGCACGGAGCGGCUCCUUGGGGGCGACGGAGGUAGGCAGCGGACGGGGCGGAGCUGUCGAGUUCACCAUCGAAUUCGCCAUGGGGUUUGCGAACUCCAUCGGUGAUGGCGGGUGUGGGGGCUUCUGCGUUUUGAAUCGAGGCUUCUGAGUUUUGAGUUGAUUAGGUGGUUCUCGAUGUGGGGUCGCCGGGCGAGGUAGUGAGCGCUUCACGGAGGGGGUUCCGCAUUCUGAAUCGGGGCGGCAGGCCGCUUCGCCCUGCCGAUGAAUUGACCACAGUUAGCGCAUCGAGUAUAUACUAUUGCAUCAAGUUUUACGGUUAGUUCCUUCUCACAUCCUCCCCCAAACCCUCUGAUCUAUCCUACCCCGUAAUAUUUUCUGUCGAUUUUUGGGGCUCUAGAUUCGCGCCAUGAUUCGAUUUGCUGCUGUGCUUUGUUGUAAAAUUAGAGCCGAAAUGCAGAUCAGGUCAAGGUUUUGCUAACUGUUUCACAUCAGACUGGUUAAUUUGAUGGGGUGAUAAGUAACUAUAGUAUCUAAAAUAGCUUGCUAUUUUUACUUCUGUCAUGAGGUAUGCUAUGCAAGUUUGCAUGCAAAAGCACCCUAAUUAUAUCUGCUGCAAUGCUCCAUGGCAAGGACUCUUUGUGUUUAUGGGUGUAAAUUCCCUAGGUAAUUCAUUUAUUUGUUGGUGAACUAUCGACUUGCGACUUGUUUUCUAGUACGAUAGUACCUAAUUGUUGGCUUCUGGUUCCUGGAUGUCGCAUGGCGUGGUGCUGGGAGCCUAGGGAACUGGGUUCGACCGGCAAAUCGAUCGCGAGAGGUGGAUCGUCGACUGCGGGGGCACGGGGCAGAACGAGCUCGACUGGCGCAUCGACCACAUCGAUUUUACGCACUAAGGUUGAAAGAAAUAGAGCAUCACAUAAUGUGAAUGUGAAGCAUCAUUUUGGGAUGGGCAAGCAAUUUUUUGAUGCAUGUUAAAGCAAGAAACGCCCGUUGGCAAUUGACCCGGCGGAUGCAACAAUGCAGAGCUUUUGUUGAAGGGUUGUCUCCUGUGGGUGUGUGCUCUUAAUCAUGUGUGUAUGUUUUGACAAACACAGUGCAUGAUCCUGACAUGCUGUCCCUUUUGUGUUGCUUGUGUUGCUACAUGCAACAAGCGGAGGAAAUGAAAACUGACAUAAGCAGACACAAGUUGCUUGCCUGAUCAUUUUUCUGCCUAGCUGCAGUACGCCCAGUUUUCUGGAAAACAUGCAAAAUUUUGUCCAAUUUUGUAUGUUUUGUGACCUCUAACCCACAUGUGCUCUUUGUGCUA